This 253-nucleotide ribosomal RNA is filed under the name uncultured bacterium. Its description in RNAcentral is "partial 16S ribosomal RNA". It matches the Rfam family "Bacterial small subunit ribosomal RNA", at positions 524 to 776 of the family's 1533-position model. The record is from RNAcentral.
UACGUAGGUGGCAAGCGUUGUCCGGAUUUAUUGGGUUUAAAGGGUGCGUAGGCGGUCUUAUAAGUCAGUGCUGAAAUAUCCCGGCUUAACCGGGAGGGUGGCAUUGAUACUGUAGGACUUGAGUAAAGUUGAGGUUGGCGGAAUUGACGGUGUAGCGGUGAAAUGCUUAGAUAUCGUCAAGAACACCGAUAGUGUAGACAGCUAACUAAGCUCAAACUGACACUGAUGCACGAAAGUGUGGGGAUCAAACAGG